Molecule: ribosomal RNA, 300 nt
Filed under: uncultured Janthinobacterium sp.
Lineage: Bacteria; Pseudomonadati; Pseudomonadota; Betaproteobacteria; Burkholderiales; Oxalobacteraceae
Description: bacterial SSU rRNA
Rfam family: Bacterial small subunit ribosomal RNA
Source: RNAcentral
AAUAUAUCGGAACGUACCCUGGAGUGGGGGAGUAACGUAGCGAAAGUUACGCUAAUACCGCAUACGAUCUAAGGAUGAAAGUGGGGGAGUCGCAAGACCUCAUGCUCCUGGAGCGGCCGAUAUCUGAUUAGCUAGUUGGUGGGGUAAAGGCCUACCAAGGCAUCGAUCAGUAGCUGGUCUGAGAGGACGACCAGCCACACUGGAACUGAGACACGGUCCAGACUCCUACGGGAGGCAGCAGUGGGGAAUUUUGGACAAUGGGCGCAAGCCUGAUCCAGCAAUGCCGCGUGAGUGAAGAAG